This 541-nucleotide ribosomal RNA is filed under the name uncultured cyanobacterium. RNAcentral's name for it is "bacterial SSU rRNA". It matches the Rfam family "Bacterial small subunit ribosomal RNA", at positions 90 to 661 of the family's 1533-position model. Lineage: Bacteria; Bacillati; Cyanobacteriota. The record is from RNAcentral.
CUCAAGUGGCGGACGGGUGAGUAACACGUAAGAAUUUGCCUUUAGGAGGGGGACAACAACUGGAAACGGUUGCUAAUACCCCAUAUGCUUUCGAGUGAAAGGGUUUUUCCGGCUAAAGAGAAGCUUGCGGCUGAUUAGCUUGUUGGUGAGGUAAUGGCUCACCAAGGCGACGAUCAGUAUCUGGUUUGAGAGGACGAUCAGACACACUGGAACUGAGACACGGUCCAGACUCCUACGGGAGGCAGCAGUGGGGAAUUUUCCGCAAUGGGCGAAAGCCUGACGGAGCAAUACCGCGUGAGGGAUGACGGCCUAUGGGUUGUAAACCUCUUUUUUCAGGGAGGAAUCUAUGACGUGUACCUGAAGAAUAAGCAUCGGCUAACUCCGUGCCAGCAGCCGCGGUAAGACGGAGGAUGCAAGUGUCAUCCGGAAUCACUGGGCGUAAAGCGUCUGUAGGUGGUCAAAUAAGUCAACUGUUACAUCUUGAGGCUUCACCUCAAAGAUCGCAGUCGAAACUAUUAGACUAGAGUAUAGUAGGGGUAAA